RNAcentral lists this non-coding RNA (31 nucleotides) under Rattus norvegicus (Norway rat). The record is from RNAcentral. Lineage: Eukaryota; Metazoa; Chordata; Mammalia; Rodentia; Muridae.
UGAAUGUCACAGAUGUGUCUGUGUUGGCAUU